This is a small nucleolar RNA of Manis pentadactyla (Chinese pangolin), 132 nucleotides long. RefSeq annotates it as small nucleolar RNA SNORA71. The record is from RefSeq and is a predicted model, not a curated record. Lineage: Eukaryota; Metazoa; Chordata; Mammalia; Pholidota; Manidae. The transcript has a single exon.
UCCUGCAUCCGAAAGUGACCGUGGCUGCCUGUGCCCUGGUCACUGAUAGUGCAGGGAGAGGAGUCGCUGAAAGCGUUUCCCCGUGUUUGGAGGGCCCAUCCUGUCCUUUGCAAACUCUAGAGCUUUCCUACA